GGUCUGGUGGUGUAGUUGGUUAUCACGUCAGUCUAACACACUGAAGGUCUCCGGUUCAAGUCCGGGCUAGAUCA
This is a transfer RNA of Colletotrichum tofieldiae, 74 nucleotides long. It matches the Rfam family "tRNA". From Rfam's summary of the family: Transfer RNA (tRNA) molecules are approximately 80 nucleotides in length. Their secondary structure includes four short double-helical elements and three loops (D, anti-codon, and T loops). Further hydrogen bonds mediate the characteristic L-shaped molecular structure. tRNAs have two regions of fundamental functional importance: the anti-codon, which is responsible for specific mRNA codon recognition, and the 3' end, to which the tRNAs corresponding amino acid is attached (by aminoacyl-tRNA synthetases). tRNAs cope with the degeneracy of the genetic code in two manners: having more than one tRNA (with a specific anti-codon) for a particular amino acid; and 'wobble' base-pairing, i.e. permitting non-standard base-pairing at the 3rd anti-codon position. The record is from Rfam. NCBI's taxonomy places the organism in Eukaryota, Fungi, Ascomycota, Sordariomycetes, Glomerellales, Glomerellaceae.